CGCCGCGACGGACGAGGGCGUGAUGGCGACAGAGAAUGUGGUGUUGACCGAGGCGGCGAUGAGACCUCGCGAUGGAGGCGGCUGGCGGCGAUGAGGUCAAGGGGGCGUGAUGGAGGAGGAUCAGAGGCGGGCCGGGGCAAUGGAGGAGGAGGCGGUCCGGGUGCGGGUGAGGCGGUUAGGUGGCGGGACGAUGAUGGCUGGGGCGAUGGGCGAUGAGGACGAUGGCGGCCGGCGAGGGAGGUGGAUGGGUGGCGAUGGAACAGGUGGAAGGGCGCAGGAUCUUGGCGGCGGUGAAAAUUUCGCUAAGUGUCGUAACUGGCGUCGGGUGAGGGUAGAAGAGGCUACAGUGCCUUUUAUCCCCCCUUUUAUCCCGGUUCGUAAUUGAACCCGGAACUAAAGGCCCUUUUGUCCC
This 412-nucleotide long non-coding RNA is filed under the name Setaria viridis. RNAcentral's name for it is "long non-coding RNA (SVIR_LNC007978)". Lineage: Eukaryota; Viridiplantae; Streptophyta; Magnoliopsida; Poales; Poaceae. The record is from RNAcentral.